Molecule: ribosomal RNA, 406 nt
Filed under: uncultured bacterium
Lineage: Bacteria
Description: partial 16S ribosomal RNA
Rfam family: Bacterial small subunit ribosomal RNA
Source: RNAcentral
AUUGAACGCUGGCGGCAGGCCUAACACAUGCAAGUCGAACGAGUGGCGAACGGGUGAGUCAUGUCUGGGAAACUGCCUGAAGGAGGGGGAUAACUACUGGAAACGGUAGCUAAUACCGCAUACCCUCAGAUGUGUCCCGAUGGGAGUAGCUUGUUGGUGGGGUCACGGCUCACAAAGGCGACGAUCCCUAGCUGGUCUGAGAGGAUGACGGGCCAGACGGGAAAGGAGACACGGUCGAGACUCGUACGGGAGGCGGCAGUGGGGAAUAUUGCACGAAGGGCGCAAGCCUGAUGCAGCCAUGCCGCGUGUAUGAAGAAGGCCUUCGGGUUGUAAAGUACCGGCCGCGGGGAGGCGUUACCUGCAGAAGAAGCACCGGCUAACUCCGUGCCAGCAGCCGCGGUAAUAC